RNAcentral lists this transfer RNA (75 nucleotides) under Lobotes surinamensis (Atlantic tripletail). RNAcentral's name for it is "tRNA-Lys". It matches the Rfam family "tRNA". Rfam says of the family: Transfer RNA (tRNA) molecules are approximately 80 nucleotides in length. Lineage: Eukaryota; Metazoa; Chordata; Actinopteri; Lobotiformes; Lobotidae. The record is from RNAcentral.
CACUAGGAAGCUAAACCGGGAAUCAGCGUCAGCCUUUUAAGCUGAAGAAUGGUGGCUCCCACCCACCUCUAGUGA